AUCCCUCUUUCUUUUGAUUAUUUUUUCAUGCUUUUCCACACACAAUUUAAUUAAGCAAUCCAAUAUCAAAUCACAAUAAUCCAUCGCAAACAUAGCAAGAUAUAUAAUCCGAAAUUGAGAAUAGAAUUCAUGGUUCAUGGGAUGGUUAAUAUGCAUAAACGCUUAUAGAACUUUGACAAAGAUAAAAUAUAGAAAAUUCAUGGGUGUCGAUUGCGUAAAUACUAUUCUAGAGCGAUCCCCUCCUUCGAGACACAGUUCAGGUUGAUAACAUGUUGAAGGAAAACAAUCCUUAUGCCAAUAAAUUAAGUUGAUGUUAUUAGUUAAGAAUUAUGUUGCCCACAAAUUUAUAAUUUAUGUUCAAGUGAUCGAAGUAGUAAAUAAGUAAAGCUAGUGAAAUACAUUGACUAUUUAGUACCAUAGUCGGAUAAUAGAAGGCCAUUUAUUAUAAGUGUUUGAUAUCAAUAAAAGGAUUGAUACUCAACUAGGUUUGUUGUGAAUUUAUGUCAAGUUAUUAAUUUAGACUUACGAGAGUUUCUUCCAACACUCUUCUAUAGAAAAACAAGCAAACCAAACCAACGAAAGUCGUAUGUAACAAGUUGAUGUUGUUUACUAUAUUUAAUCAAAUCUUAUUGGAUCUAAAACUUGUAUGCUUUUUUGCGAGUAUCACAAAUAGUUUGAGAACAUAGUGCGAGAAUCAAAGUUUUUUAUUGUGGUAACACCAACAUUUGUUUAAAAGAAAGUGAUUAUGGCACUUCGUUGGCUACUUGUGAGGGUGCAGAGAAGUCUUGAGCAAUGAACUUCAGUACUCCUUCUGGCGGGCACUUACACAUAGUGUUGAUGCAUGAGCAUUUGGCUGGGUCAGGACAUUCAGCAGAUGUUUUGCAGGGAAACCUCACUAUUGGACCCCUCGCUUCUACUCCAAUUUGUAGACCUGCAAUAUCAUUAUUUCCUUAAGUAAUAUUGAAAUUGCAUUUUCUACUUAAAUACUAAUUCAUGUAGAACUUGAGGGUUUUUUUUCUCCGAUCAAUUCAACUUGAGAGUUAAGAAAGCAAAAUACAUAAACAUGUAUAUCUCGUCUAUGUAGGGAUCAUAUAGUAAAAAGUAUUAGAGACAAGUAUUUUACCAUAUGCAACAAUCAACAGCACAACAAAGAAGGCUAACUUGAGUGAACCUUUCUCCAUGUCUCUUUGUUGAUAGAUAGAGGCAAAAAAUUAUGAUGAUUGUUGAAUUGUAUUCUUCUUAAACUUAAUUUUGAGCUACUAGUGUGCUCCAAAGCUACAAUUAUAUAGUUGAAGUUGGGAUUAUUUUCUAUAAUUGUACAUCUAUCUCGAUAAAAAAAAUAUUUCUUUAACAAAUUGGUUGCUGCAUAAAUUUGUAAAGAAAUCUGUUCACCAAAACUUUAUAGUAAAAAUGUUUGAUAAAAUCAGAUUGCAAACCAUAGUAGUUCAUUUUCAUGCAUGAAAUAAUUAUGUCUAAAGUUAGUUAGAUUCGCAUUGAAGCUAUGUGAUUCUCAAGUAACUAGUGCUCUUUAAACUAAAGAUUUUAUAUAGCUAUAUUUUGGAUUACUUUCUUAAAAUACAUGCCUAGAUAUAGUGAAAUUCAAUUUUGGAUUACAUUCUUGUUUAGACUUGAAAUAAUAGUUUGGGUCGAGAAUGGGCUAAAUUAAGUUUAAAAGUUAUGAUUCUCGACCUAGUAAUGAUCCCUCAGGCUAGUGGGCUUUCAACCCAAAAGAGAGUAUUGAUUCGGCCAAGUCUUUGUAGGAAUAUGACUAUUAAUGGAUCAAGCUCUUGUGUGGCUUGGUCGAGUGUUAAGAGAGUUAAAAUGACCAAAGAUUAAGCUGAAUUCUGAUAAGAUGCGAAUCAUUUUAGGGAUCAAAAUUCAUGCUUGAUUAGUUCAGAGUUCUGGUUCAAAUAAAAAAGUUGAAUCCACUUUUAUAAUAAUUUUUUAGUAAAAAAAAUUAAAUUUAAAGGGAGUAAAGUCAAAAUUUUAGUAAAUUUUAUAAUAGUUUUUUUAAAUACCUUGCGCGACGAAUGUAAUUGUUGUGUAAAAGCACUUUGCACGACAUCGACGUCAAAAUGUAUCCCUGCGCUGCGAUGCGCCGUGCUAUUUGUGAUAAUUUUGACGGUGAAGUUGUAAAAAAUAGGCGCUUCUUUUAAAAUUUUCCUAAGUUUGGACAAAAUUUUCCCAGACCCGAACGCUCUCUCACUCGGUCUCUCUCUUCCCAAGUUUGGACAAAAUUUUCUUUUCCCGUUGCCUUCCUCCUCAUCUUCUUUCCAUCGCUCCCGACUGCACCCAGCCAGCAGGUAUUGACCCAGGUAUCUAUAUUUUCUUAAUUCUUAAUUUUUCUUCUUUCUAAGGUCAGAAUCAAGCUUUAAUGCCUUAAUUUGAAGAUUUUGGUAUUGUAAUUAGAUUCAAUUUGGAAAAUUAAAUUAGAAAUUGGGGAUUUUAGUGUUAAAUCGAAUUUUAGGGUUUGAGUGUUAAAUCGAAUAUUAAGAUGUUGAUGGUGUUGUGCGUUGUGAGUGUGAAUGAAAAACCAAGUAAACUUUGAUAAAUUUGACAUCAUGAAUCUCUGGGUGUGACAAGCAUUUGGAAGAAUUUCCGUGUAUCGGAUAUCGUCUCUGUGUAUGGUUUUUUCCCCCCACCUCUUUAGGGUGGUGGGUUGGUAUGCCAGGUAUGUCUGAUUUAUUUUUCUGUUCAUACAAAUUUGCUGCAGUUGAAAGUUAUUGGUCUUUGUCUUACUAAAAAUUGAAAAUUCCUUAGGUUGCUCUGACAUGCAUGGCAAAGUUAAGAGAUGACAGAUUUUUAUUUACUGGUGGUCUUAGUUCUGAUAGUUUGGCAUGUCUUGACAUUAUCAUGGCAAAACAAUUACCAAAUGGAGCUUGUCACUCAAUCCUGUUUAAAGCUUACGCUGGCAAUUCUUAGACAAGAAUCAUCAGAAGCCUUAAGGAGACGGUAUGCUUGUUCAAGAUGUCCCGUCAACCGUUCUGCAAUUCUUGCUGCUUGAUGAGCAAGAUGGUGAUGAUAUGGAUCUCCAGAAGGUGUCUAGUUUCUAUGAUUACAAGGCAAUUUGCACUAAAUAUCAUCUGGUGGAAAGGAUAGCUUACCAGGUAAUAAAGGAUGCUACUGAAGGCAGUGAACUUGGGAAACAAAUGGCACUCUAUGUUUUGGAUGCAUUGUUUUGUGUAGAUCAUGAAAAAUAUUUCUUAAGCCAGCUUCAAAGCAGGGGUUUCUUAAGGUCUUGCUUAACAAGCAUCAGCAAUUCUCAUCAGGUUCUUGUUUAACCAACUAUAAAGUCCAAUGCAAUCCUAUUUUGGUGAUACCAACACCAUCAGCACUCUUACGAGUCUUUGCCUUUACAAUUGUUUGAGGACCAACCAAAGAGUGAGUCGUCUUCCAACUUGGGACCCUUGAGAUGUAACCUCACUCCCCUCUCAUUCAUCACUCCUCUCAAAGACAGAAUAUUCUGUACUCCAACUAUUUUCUCACUUCUUCAAUAAUAGUAACAUCCAACGCUUCAUUAGUUGUGUGUGAACCACCUCUGUCAUCAGUUAUAGCACACAAGCUCUGGAUUGAACAACCCGAAAACUUCCCAACUUGUCUCGCCAUAAAGCCGUACCUGAAAUCCGUGGUAUCCGCAUAUUUUAGAAAGUUGAAACUCUAAGGUCGGAUAACAAUGCCGAAGCUUCUAGAGAGGAUUUGGUGGAAAUUGAAACCAGUUCUACUGCAGGACUCUGGUGAAGCUUCUAUUCAAAAUUUGUCUAAAGAAUGGGCCUGUUUUUAAGAGAUCCCUGAUGCAGAGGUUUCCAGUUUCCAAAACAGUUUUGACUUAUUCAAGAUGUCCGACAUGAUGAAAGGCAGGAAACACAUGAGAAAUCUUCGACAAGUAUGCAUUUGGAGGAACUGGAAGAUCCAGAAAAAUUUGCAGAAGAGGGGGGCAAGGUCAUCACGGGCCAAGAAUAUGUUUCUCGGUUGCAUGAACUUAAAGCUGAAUUAACUCAUGCAUGGCAUGUCGAUGAUCGUGUUACAUCUCUGAAAUUAUCAAUAGAAGUACAUUUUAAUUGAUAAUUCAGUUUACCCAAUUAAUCUUUACCUGGAGAGAAUUUGUAAUAGAAGACAACAUUAAGCAUCAAACCUAGAAGACUACUUCUUAUAGGUUUAUUUUUUUUAUUUUUUAUUUUUUAUGUUUGGACAUCUUGUAUGUACAUUUUCAUAUAUUUUAUAAUUAAAUACUUUUUCUUGGUUUAUUAA
Non-coding RNA from Malus domestica (apple), 4248 nucleotides. Lineage: Eukaryota; Viridiplantae; Streptophyta; Magnoliopsida; Rosales; Rosaceae. The record is from RefSeq and is a predicted model, not a curated record.